CACCAACAGGAUUCACGUAAGUCGCUCUGGAUAAGAGCGUCUGCUAAAUGACUAAAA
Molecule: non-coding RNA, 57 nt
Organism: Salmo salar (Atlantic salmon)
Lineage: Eukaryota; Metazoa; Chordata; Actinopteri; Salmoniformes; Salmonidae
Source: Rfam